RNAcentral lists this ribosomal RNA (496 nucleotides) under uncultured bacterium. RNAcentral describes it as "partial 16S ribosomal RNA". It matches the Rfam family "Bacterial small subunit ribosomal RNA", at positions 29 to 507 of the family's 1533-position model. The record is from RNAcentral.
AUGAACGCUGGCGGCGUGCCUAAUACAUGCAAGUCGAGCGAACGGACGAGAAGCUUGCUUUUCUGAUGUUAGCGGCGGACGGGUGAGUAACACGUGGAUAACCUACCUAUAAGACUGGGAUAACUUCGGGAAACCGGAGCUGAUACCGGAUAAUAUUUUGAACCGCAUGGUUCAAAAGUGAAAGACGGUCUUGCUGUCACUUAUAGAUGGAUCCGCGCUGCAUUAGCUAGUUGGUAAGGUAACGGCUUACCAAGGCAACGAUGCAUAGCCGACCUGAGAGGGUGAUCGGCCACACUGGAACUGAGACACGGUCCAGACUCCUACGGGAGGCAGCAGUAGGGAAUCUUCCGCAAUGGGCGAAAGCCUGACGGAGCAACGCCGCGUGAGUGAUGAAGGUCUUCGGAUCGUAAAACUCUGUUAUUAGGGAAGAACAUAUGUAUAAGUAACUGUGCACAUCUUGACGGUACCUAAUCAGAAAGCCACGGCUAACUACGUG